GACAGAGGUCCCGAGCGUUAGGCGGAAUCACUGGGCUUAAAGCGUGUGUAGGCGGCGGCCUAAGUACCUUGUGAAAUCCCACGGCUCACCCGUGGAACUGCUCGGUAUACUGGGUCGCUUGAGCCACUUAGGGGCUACCGGAACAAAUGGUGGAGCGGUGAAAUGCGUAGAUAUCAUUUGGAACGCCAAUGGUGAAAACAGGUAGCUGGGAGUGUGCUGACGCUGAGACACGAAAGCCAGGGGAGCAAACGGG
This 253-nucleotide ribosomal RNA is filed under the name uncultured bacterium. RNAcentral's name for it is "partial 16S ribosomal RNA". It matches the Rfam family "Bacterial small subunit ribosomal RNA", at positions 524 to 776 of the family's 1533-position model. The record is from RNAcentral.